UACGUAGGGUGCGAGCGUUAAUCGGAAUACUGGGCGUAAAGCGUGCGCAGGCGGUGAUGUAAGACAGGUGUGAAAUCCCCGGGCUUAACCUGGGAACUGCAUUUGUGACUGCAUCGCUGGAGUGCGGAAGAGGGAAGCGGAAUUUCCGGUGUAGCGGUGAAAUGCGUAGAUAUCGGAAGGAACACCAGUGGCGAAAGCGGCUUCCUGGUCCAGCACCGACGUUCAGGCACGAAAGCGUGGGGGAUCAAACAGG
RNAcentral lists this ribosomal RNA (253 nucleotides) under uncultured bacterium. Its description in RNAcentral is "partial 16S ribosomal RNA". It matches the Rfam family "Bacterial small subunit ribosomal RNA", at positions 524 to 776 of the family's 1533-position model. The record is from RNAcentral.